RNAcentral lists this unclassified non-coding RNA (218 nucleotides) under uncultured Thelephoraceae. RNAcentral describes it as "sequence contains ITS2". The record is from RNAcentral. Lineage: Eukaryota; Fungi; Basidiomycota; Agaricomycetes; Thelephorales; Thelephoraceae.
ACACCUCAACUCCCAUGGUUCGCCAUGGUGAGCUUGGACUUUGGGGGUUUUGCUGGCCCACGGUCGGCUCCUCUCAAAUGAAUUAGCCUGCCAGUGUUUGGUGGCAUCACGGGUGUGAUAAAUAUCUACGCUUGCGAUUGUCCACCAGGUAACCUUCAGCAAUGGGGGUUCGCUGGGGCUCACAGAUGUCUCUCCCUCAGCGAGGACAGUUUUUUAAC